GACGAACGCUGGCGGCGUGCCUAAUACAUGCAAGUCGAGCGCAGGAAGCUGACGGAACUCUUCGGAGAGAAGGCAGUGGAAUGAGCGGCGGACGGGUGAGUAACACGUAAGGAACCUGCCUCAAGGAUUGGGAUAACUCCGAGAAAUCGGAGCUAAUACCGGAUAGUUCAACGGACCGCAUGGUCCGCUGAUGAAAGGCGCUUCGGCGUCACCUUGAGAUGGACUUGCGGUGCAUUAGCUAGUUGGUGGGGUAACGGCCCACCAAGGCGACGGUGCAUAGCCGACCUGAGAGGGUGAUCGGCCACACUGGGACUGAGACACGGCCCAGACUCCUACGGGAGGCAGCAGUAGGGAAUCUUCCACAAUGGACGAAAGUCUGAUGGAGCGACGCCGCGUGAGUGAUGAAGGUUUUCGGAUCGUAAAACUCUGUUGUAAGGGAAGAACACGUACGAGAGGGAAUGCUCGUACCUCGACGGUACCUUACGAGAAAGCCUCGGCUAACUACGUGCCAGCCGCCGCCAGUAA
RNAcentral lists this ribosomal RNA (525 nucleotides) under uncultured bacterium. RNAcentral describes it as "partial 16S ribosomal RNA". It matches the Rfam family "Bacterial small subunit ribosomal RNA", at positions 28 to 523 of the family's 1533-position model. The record is from RNAcentral.